RNAcentral lists this ribosomal RNA (483 nucleotides) under uncultured bacterium. RNAcentral describes it as "partial 16S ribosomal RNA". It matches the Rfam family "Bacterial small subunit ribosomal RNA", at positions 30 to 507 of the family's 1533-position model. The record is from RNAcentral.
AUUGAACGCUGGCGGCAGGCCUAACACAUGCAAGUCGAGCGGAUGAAGGGAGCUUGCUCCUGGAUUCAGCGGCGGACGGGUGAGUAAUGCCUAGGAAUCUGCCUGGUAGUGGGGAUAAGGGCCGGAAAGGGGGGCCAAUUACGCUAACGUCCCGUAGGACAAACGGGGGGAAUCUUGGGACCUACGGAACUUGAGCGACCUAGGUCGGAUUAGCUAGUUGGUGGGGUAAAGGCCUACCAAGGCGACGAUCCGUAACUGGUCUGAGAGGAUGAUCAGUCACACUGGAACUGAGACACGGUCCAGACUCCUACGGGAGGCAGCAGUGGGGAAUAUUGGACAAUGGGCGAAAGCCUGAUCCAGCCAUGCCGCGUGUGUGAAGAAGGUCUUCGGAUUGUAAAGCACUUUAAGUUGGGAGGAAGGGCAGUAAGUUAAUACCUUGCUGUUUUGACGGUACCAACAGAAUAAGCACCGGCUAACUUCGUG